RNAcentral lists this ribosomal RNA (459 nucleotides) under uncultured bacterium. RNAcentral describes it as "partial 16S ribosomal RNA". It matches the Rfam family "Bacterial small subunit ribosomal RNA", at positions 338 to 795 of the family's 1533-position model. The record is from RNAcentral.
CCUACGGGAUGCAGCAGUGAGGAAUAUUGGUCAAUGGGCGAGAUCCUGAACCAGCCAAGCCGCGUGAGGGAAGACGGCCCUAUGGGUUGUAAACCUCUUUUGUCGGAGAACAAAACCCGGGACGUGUCCCGGACUGCGCGUCUCCGAAGAAAAAGCAUCGGCUAACUCCGUGCCAGCAGCCGCGGUAAUACGGAGGAUGCGACGGUUAUCCGGAUUUAUUGGGUUAAAAGGGUGCGUAGGCGGGCCGUUAAGUCAGCGGUAAAAGUGCGGGGCUCAACCCCGUCGAGCCGUUGAAACUGGCAUACUUGAGUUGGCGAGAAGUAGGCGGAAUGCGCGGUGUAGCGGUGAAAUGCAUAGAUAUCGCGAAGAACUCCGAUUGCGAAGGCAGCGUACCGGCGCCAGACUGACGCUGAGGCACGAAAGCGUGGGGAUCGAACAGGAUUAGAUACCCCAGUAGUC